UCGCGGUGUUUUGUUUCGUGCCCUUGCAGAGCCGCUGUCGCUGCGAUGGUCGGCUACUGGGAGAUCCCGGAGGGGACCGACUGCGUCCGCAAGGCCUGGAUCACCGGCCGCCUUGGGGCUGCGCUGGGCUUGAUUGGUUCGGCAUAUCAUAUUGUAUUGUUCCAGCCUGAGUCAGUCUUUAAGGGUGUGCAAACGGCAGCUACGAGCACUGUCACAAUGGCUACUUUGGGAGCAGUAUUUGGAUUGACCACUUGCCUCAGUGCCCACAUCCGGGAGGACCCAGAGGAUGCCCUGAAUUAUUUCAUAGGCGGUUGUGCAUCAGGCAUUGUCUUGGGUGCAAGAAUGGUGUAUCAGCAGUCCUGUGUACUGGGACAGCUACCUCAGCUGUCUCCACAUGGACACUGUCCAGGAACUGCUCGUGGAUUCGGAUGCUCCUCAACCUAGCCACCUCCUCCUGUAGCUCUCCCACCUGCUGCCUGAGAGAUUCCACCAGCAGGCACCUUUCACAUUGGAUGGUCCCCCCAGCCUGGAUAUCACUCACAGCUAUGCCACUGGUUCCUCAGCAUGUGUGGCGCUAGGACUUCUGGCUGCUUUUACAAAGAUAGGCAAGCGAGAAGGCUGGAAGAUAAUAGGACCUCCCAGACUCUAAAUGUAGGCUGGCUCCUGUCUCGGAAAUGUUUUUCAAAUGUCCUGUGUAAUAAAUUAUCCUGGAAUAACACAGA
RNA transcript from Emys orbicularis (European pond turtle), 722 nucleotides. It is a transcript of the gene named NADH:ubiquinone oxidoreductase subunit A11, with no coding region annotated. The record is from RefSeq and is a predicted model, not a curated record. NCBI's taxonomy places the organism in Eukaryota, Metazoa, Chordata, Testudines, Emydidae. The transcript is spliced from 5 exons.